Brassica napus (rape) is the source of this 904-nucleotide long non-coding RNA. RefSeq lists it as uncharacterized. The transcript is spliced from 4 exons. Lineage: Eukaryota; Viridiplantae; Streptophyta; Magnoliopsida; Brassicales; Brassicaceae. The record is from RefSeq and is a predicted model, not a curated record.
UAUAUCCAAAGUAUUCAGACUUCAUGUGAAUUAUUCUUCUGCUUCUUGAUGGGAAGAAUUCUGUAAUCCACACUUUCAUCCCUGCAUUCAAUGAUUUAAAACCAACCAAUAUGGUCACCUGUCUAAAAAAAAGACCACCCAUUCGUCAUAGGACGUUUCAUGCUUUCCACAACGAUCACACUAUUUGACAAGUCUUACGGUGAGGGGUUCUGGGGAGGACUCACACUCCACUUGAACAUGAGAUGUUUUCAAAUUCCAGCAUGCUCUUGUAUCUCCAGUGUCCAGCCAGUGCUGUCAACCCCGGUUCAUCGUUGUCAUUUCUGGAGAAGUUCUGCCAAGAUAUUUCAGCUCAGGAUGGGUAUUUGCUCAGUUUCAUGAACCAGAAGUCGCCCAGUUCUUUGCAACAUUUGGCGCUAACCUCACAAUUGCAUGGAUGGAAGACAAUAGGAGCUCGGUAAAGCUUCCAUGAAGCGGAGAGAGCUUGAAUGGUCUGAAGUAAAAAGCAGUCUUGCUCAGUAAUUAACGGCUUCACAGAUCCCAUGUUCUUUGGAUGUGAGUGACAAUGGACGAUUGGAGAAAAAGACAAGCAUCUGGGCGGAGCAGCGAGGGCAAUUAGCGUCACCUCUGCUGUACUAUAAUUAUCACCUCCGCAGACGCCCUGGAGUCAUAAAUACGACGAGAGAAGGAGGAGAACACGAAAGGGGUUACGGUGUUGGAAGGUCAAGCUAAAUUUAGUUGUUACCUAUCACUAUCAGUGUCCACCACCGAUGCAAUGGCCAAUCGAAUCUCAAGUUCAUUUUAAGGAAUGGUCUCAGUCAUAAGACUGUUAUGAACAAUCGAUUUCAAAAUAUCAACAUAAACUUAGGAUAAUAAAUUUCUCUCGAAUGCAUUUUUUUAAUCAAAA